This 1052-nucleotide ribosomal RNA is filed under the name uncultured Burkholderiales bacterium. RNAcentral's name for it is "bacterial SSU rRNA". It matches the Rfam family "Bacterial small subunit ribosomal RNA", at positions 57 to 1099 of the family's 1533-position model. The record is from RNAcentral. Lineage: Bacteria; Pseudomonadati; Pseudomonadota; Betaproteobacteria; Burkholderiales.
GCAGUCGAACGGCAGCAUGAUCUAGCUUGCUAGAUUGAUGGCGAGUGGCGAACGGGUGAGUAAUACAUCGGAACGUGCCCUGUAGUGGGGGAUAACUAGUCGAAAGAUUAGCUAAUACCGCAUACGACCUGAGGGUGAAAGUGGGGGACCGCAAGGCCUCAUGCUAUAGGAGCGGCCGAUGUCUGAUUAGCUAGUUGGUGAGGUAAAGGCUCACCAAGGCGACGAUCAGUAGCUGGUCUGAGAGGACGAUCAGCCACACUGGGACUGAGACACGGCCCAGACUCCUACGGGAGGCAGCAGUGGGGAAUUUUGGACAAUGGGCGAAAGCCUGAUCCAGCAAUGCCGCGUGUGUGAAGAAGGCCUUCGGGUUGUAAAGCACUUUUGUCCGGAAAGAAAUGGCUCUGGUUAAUACCUGGGGUCGAUGACGGUACCGGAAGAAUAAGGACCGGCUAACUACGUGCCAGCAGCCGCGGUAAUACGUAGGGUCCAAGCGUUAAUCGGAAUUACUGGGCGUAAAGCGUGCGCAGGCGGUUGUGCAAGACCGAUGUGAAAUCCCCGAGCUUAACUUGGGAAUUGCAUUGGUGACUGCACGGCUAGAGUGUGUCAGAGGGGGGUAGAAUUCCACGUGUAGCAGUGAAAUGCGUAGAGAUGUGGAGGAAUACCGAUGGCGAAGGCAGCCCCCUGGGAUAACACUGACGCUCAUGCACGAAAGCGUGGGGAGCAAACAGGAUUAGAUACCCUGGUAGUCCACGCCCUAAACGAUGUCAACUAGUUGUUGGGGAUUCAUUUCCUUAGUAACGUAGCUAACGCGUGAAGUUGACCGCCUGGGGAGUACGGUCGCAAGAUUAAAACUCAAAGGAAUUGACGGGGACCCGCACAAGCGGUGGAUGAUGUGGAUUAAUUCGAUGCACCGCGAAAAACCUUACCUACCCUUGACAUGCCACUAACGAAGCACAGAUGCUUUAGGUGCUCGAAAGAAAAGUGGACACAGGUGCUGCAUGGCUGUCCUCAGCUCGGGUCGGGAAAGUUGGGUUAAGUCCCCCACCGAGCGC